This 75-nucleotide transfer RNA is filed under the name Phycisphaerales bacterium. Its description in RNAcentral is "tRNA-Met". It matches the Rfam family "tRNA". Rfam says of the family: Transfer RNA (tRNA) molecules are approximately 80 nucleotides in length. Their secondary structure includes four short double-helical elements and three loops (D, anti-codon, and T loops). Lineage: Bacteria; Pseudomonadati; Planctomycetota; Phycisphaerae; Phycisphaerales. The record is from RNAcentral.
CGCAGGGUAGAGCAGUCUGGUCAGCUCGUCGGACUCAUAAUCCGGAGGUCGUUGGUUCAAAUCCAACCCCUGCUA